Molecule: transfer RNA, 39 nt
Filed under: Poa pratensis subsp. alpigena
Lineage: Eukaryota; Viridiplantae; Streptophyta; Magnoliopsida; Poales; Poaceae
Description: partial tRNA-Phe
Source: RNAcentral
GUCAGGAUAGCUCAGUUGGUAGAGCAGAGGACUGAAUCC